This 497-nucleotide ribosomal RNA is filed under the name uncultured bacterium. Its description in RNAcentral is "partial 16S ribosomal RNA". It matches the Rfam family "Bacterial small subunit ribosomal RNA", at positions 28 to 507 of the family's 1533-position model. The record is from RNAcentral.
GAUGAACGCUGGCGGCGUGCCUAAUACAUGCCAGUCGAGCGAACAGAUAAGGAGCUUGCUCCUUUGACGUUAGCGGCGGACGGGUGAGUAACACGUGGGUAACCUACCUAUAAGACUGGGAUAACUUCGGGAAACCGGAGCUAAUACCGGAUAACAUUUGGAACCGCAUGGUUCUAAAGUGAAAGAUGGUUUUGCUAUCACUUAUAGAUGGACCCGCGCCGUAUUAGCUAGUUGGUAAGGUAACAGCUUACCAAGGCGACGAUACGUAGCCGACCUGAGAGGGUGAUCGGCCACACUGGAACUGAGACACGGUCCAGACUCCUACGGGAGGCAGCAGUAGGGAAUCUUCCGCAAUGGGCGAAAGCCUGACGGAGCAACGCCGCGUGAGUGAUGAAGGGUUUCGGCUCGUAAAACUCUGUUAUUAGGGAAGAACAAACGUGUAAGUAACUGUGCACGUCUUGACGGUACCUAAUCAGAAAGCCACGGCUAACUACGUG